GGUAAUCGAAUAGCCGCUUAGGGUUCAUCUUGGCAUUGAUUUCGAGUCAGAAUUUUCCUGAAAGUUCUGCCUUUAUGAACUAUUGUUUAGAGUUUAUGUAUCGUGAUGUUCUGUGAUUCCUCUUCUCUCCUUUUUUCGAAUUCAUAAUUUUAGGUUUUGUGUAUAUGCUGUGACGAGACAAUUUCGUGGACUAGAGUUUCUGAUCUGGGUAAUUAUCCAGAACUUGAUUAUCAACCCUUGGCUGUCCGAGCACACCAAAAUUUCCAAAAUUAGUUUUUUUCUUCUGACCAUUUUCAUUAUCCAAAAGAAUUUUGUUGGCUCUCUCCCUGUUACAGGUACCAUUGGUUUUUGUAUUGUAAUUAUGCUAAAUUGGCUUAAGAAAACAGUUUGGCUUAUGAUGAUAAUUUAAUUAUCUUAGCGGAUUUCAGUGAGAUCUUAAUCAAUGAUCUGAAUGUUACACACACUGAAGCCUUUGUCUUGUAGUUUUUAACACUUGUUUCAAAUGUCCUUCAAUUGGUUGUUGCUUGUACUUCUAAUUCGGUUCAUUUGUUCUUGACAAUGCUACUGUUGCCAUCUGGUUUUUGUUACCUGUGAAUGUAUUAUAUGGAGUACUAAUUUAUAUAUUAAUGGUGUUAUGAUGAGAUGAAGCACUUGAGCGUGUUUGGGCAGUGGACGGAACCACAAGGUUUCGCCGUGAGCCUCCAAUUUUAACGACUUCUCCUUCCACUGAGCACCAUAAUUAGAGAUGAUUUUCAUUUGCAUAAAGUCAUUAGGAACAUUGCUUGAAUGAACGUUGUAUAAGAGUUAAACUAUUAGGUGCAUUGUUUUCCAUUGCGUCCAUUACCAAUUCCGGGGGAUAAAUUGUUCCUUCUGGUAUAAUGGCUCGGACGCCAUAUUUAUGAUGUGGUCAUCCUGAUUGGUGGUUUCAUCUUCAUACCAUUUGGUCUUGGAAACGCCACCAACAUUUUUAGUAUUCAAUUCACUGGAAGAAUGCAAAUUUUGUUCUGAUUGCAGCUCUUUAUAGGUGUGGAUACAGUGUGUAUCAACUUUUGCUUACGUAGUUCAUUCAAAUUAUAGAUAUAGAUAAUUUUGUGUAUGUAAUGUUUUUGAAAAUUAUCAUUGGACUUUGUAGUUUGAUCAGUGUGCUGUGACGAAACACUUGUGGACUAGAGUUUCUGAUCUGAGAAUUUACUCAGAAGUUGAUUAUGAAACCCUUGGCUGUCCGAGCACACCAAUUAUUUCGUUCCACCUUAAAUUGGUUUUUCACAAAAUUCGUUGUAAGCUUUUAAUUUCUUAAUUAUUUGAAUGUUUUGUUAAAUCAAAUUUCUUUCUUUUCGGAAGAUUUUAAAUUGUUUGGCUUAUGAUGAUAAUUCAUUUAUCUUAGCGGAUUUCAGUGAGAUUUCUAUCAAUGAUCUGAAUGUUACACACACUGAAGCCCUUGUCUUGUGUUAAAAGGAAACUUAUUUCUACUACUUUGUUUAUUGUUAUUUCUGAUUUUAUUAUUUAUUUUAAUCUGUAUUUCAUUGUAGACUUUUUUCUUGGGAUAAAGUAGACAUUUCUACAGUUGCAAGUGAUAUUAAUCUGAAACCUGUCGUCGUUAAUUAACAAUGAUUCAGAUCUUACGGCCUACUAUCAUCCAUAUAGCCCACCAAAGUGUUCUUAUAUAAUGGUUCUUGGUAUCAAUGUGUGCGAUGAACGUAAAGUCUCCAGAACAUUAUUGACUAAAAGGAACUGAGAACCAUAAUUCAGUAGAACUGAGAAUGUACGUUACUUAGAAUGUCUGUCUUAAUAAAUAGAUAAGGGAAUUUGUUAAGGUUAAUUUGUAGAUGAAUAAUAGACACAUAUUUGUAGAUGGAUAAUAGUUGUCUUACAUUGUCAUUGACUAUUUGUUGAAGUGUCUUGCCAGGGAAGGCAGUUAGAAGAUUUCUUCUGAUCUUAAGGCGGUGUAUCUCUCCACAUGAAUUUGUAUAUAGAAUUGUAACAGUAUAGAUAUUUUGCAAAAUACAUACAUCCCACUACAAAGUAGAUGGAUAAUAGUUGUCUUACAAUAAUUUUUUUGUUUGGUUAGUUUUCAUGUAUUCACACCGUUCCAAUGUGAAAACAAGUAAUCGCUAUUGAAUUAUUUCAUUUUGAAUCAUAGAUCUAAUAGCAUUUAUUUACUUUUUAACAAAAUGGAAAUCCAUAAUAAAAAUUUGCCACUUUAAUGCAUGUGCAUCCCUAUGUUUAGCUACUGAAUCUACUUGUACGAAAGAUCAUCAUACAAAAUAUACUUCCAAUUAUCUAGAUAUACUAAGAUUAAGAAAUAUAUUAUUCUAUAUUUUUUUAAUAUUUAGAUAACAAUAUUUAAUUUAUGGUCAUAGUAGUCAAUCAUGCUGCUCUCUCUUUAUAUUCUUUUAGAUAAUAAUAGAUUCGGUGUUUACCUGGUUUCUUUUACUUCGGAAUAAUAGUAAUUUCUAAGUUAUCGGUGUUAUGAUGAGAUGAAGCACCGAAGUGUGUUUGGGCAGUAGACAUAAUCACAUGGUUUCGCCCGUGAGCCUUCAAUUUUAACGACUUCUCCUUCCACUGAGCACCAUAGUUAGAGAUAUUUUUCAUUUGCAUUAAAUCAUUAGAACAUUAUUUCGAGUGAAUGCCUAUUUUUUCGUAUGAUGGUUAAACGUUUAGGAGCAUUGUUUCCUUUGCGUCCAUUACCAAUUCCGGGGGAUAAAUGGUUCCUGCUGGUAUAAUGGCUCGGACGCCAUAUUCAUGACGUGGUCAUCCUGAUUGGUGGGUUCAUCUUCAUACCAUUUGGUCUUGGAAACGCCACCAACAUUGUUUCUUUGUAAUUUGUUCUUUGUGCUGUGACGAGAGAAUCGUGGACUAGAGUUUCUGAUUUGAGGAUUUACUCAGAAGUUGAUUAUGAAACCCUUGGCUGUCCGAGCACACCAAAUCUUUCCAUUCACCUAAACUUAGUUGUUUACUUAAUUCGUUGUGAACUUUUUAUUUCUUAAUAAUUUUAGUUUUUGCUUUAAUUGUCUGUUAAAUUAAAUAUUAUUGUGAUAAAUGGUUUGGCUUAUGAUGAUAAUUUAUUUAUCUUAGCGGAUUUCAGUGAGAUUUUUAUCAAUGAUCUGACUGUUACACACACUGAAGCCAUUGUCUUAUUUUACAGACUUAUUUUCUGUUUGUUUAUUAAUUAUUUGUUUAUGAAUUUAUUAUUUAUUUUAAUUAAUUAUUUGUACCUUUUGAAAUUGUUAUUUUUAUAUGUAAACUCUUCAAUUUUAAUUAAGAUUUGCCUUAAAUUUAUUAAUAUGUUGUUAAUUAAUAAGUUCAAUUAAUUGAGAAUAUUUUAAAUAUUUAUUGUAAUACUUUUCGAAAAAAGUUUUUUUAUUAUUUUUCGAAAUUUAAGAUAUUUUAGAUCUUAAAAUAUGUUUUCAUUUUUAUAAGUUACCCUAGGCUGAUUAUAACACGCGGAAGUUGUUAAUUCCUGAUCCAUAUCCUGGGCAUCCUCCAAUAAGUUCUAUGUUAUGUAACAUAGAAGAUAGAUCUUGAAUUUUGUGAUGUAGCUCUUGACUGUCAGAAGGUCUGAAGAUCAUGUGUGUUGAACCUGGACUUAUGACGGUUCAGUAGUCAAUAAAUGUGGAAUCACAACAUUAUAAACAGAGAUUUUGUAUAGCUUGCUAUAUCUACACCUCUGUACAACUUUUCCUAUAUUAUGGCUUUUUACUCAUCCAUGACCAUAUCUUACUUUUUAAACUCAAAUCUAAGAAAUAAUAAUUUUGUAAAUAUUUAGUUAUGUAUCAAAAGUUAUCAUAUUAGUAUAUAAAUAUAUAACGACUUAUUCACCAUUUUAAAAAAAUUAGUGUACACAUUUAUCAACCUCUUAAUUAUUAGUAUUAGAAAGCAGUAAUAUAAUAUAAGACAUCAUCAAGUUUUUAUGUCAUUAUUUUAGAGCAUGUUUCAAUCUAUAGAAAUAUUUUAAGAGUUUCAUAUGUUGUUUUCUUGACUAGGAAUUACACACUAGUCUUAAUAAAGGAAAUCUUAAUAAUUAAAGUAAAAGUAUCACAAUAGUUUAUGUAUUAUUAUUUUUUACUUAAUUAAUUUUAAUUCUUAUAACUUUUUCCUAAUGUUUUGCAUUAUAAGCAUUAAUAACUUUAGGGUUUAGGGUUUAGGGUUUAGGGUUUAGGGUUUAGGAACAUUGUUGUGAUCAAUUUCAACUAGUUUAAUUUUAAAAUGAUCUCUAAAUUCGGUUUGUUUUUUAAUUUUCUACAACUUUUCUAUUGUUGUUUGAAUUUAUGACGUGCUUUUAAAAGAAAAACUUUUAAAAAACACUAUAUUUUUUUGUAUUUACUAUAUAUAUAGUACAUGUUCAAUUACAUCAUAUUUGACAAAGAAGACCACUUAUAUAUUUUAUGGUUAUCAUUGAAAAUGAACCAAUAUUUUUAAAGUCAAAAUAUAGAUAUGAUGAGAUAAAGGACAAUUUUUUUAUUAAUAAAUACAUUAGAGGUACAAUUAUGGAGGUAGUGCGUAUCUCAUAGAAUCAGAAUUUCCUUCAAUCUAUUAGACUUCUUGUGUAAUGCACAACAAUGUUCUUGGAUCUCACAAAUUAUGGAUGAUGUUACUUUUAUUAAAAACUUUAUUGUAGGACACUAUAUGAGAUUAUCAAUGUUAAGUAAAUUCAAGUCAUUGAAGUUGUUUUAUGUUCCUCCAAUAAGAUUUGCUUCAACCAUAGUUAUGUUAACCAUGUUUAGAAGUUUAAAAAAAUGAAUUCAAGAGAUGAUUAGUGAUGAAUGAUCUUAAAUAAAACAUAACAUGGAUAAUGCAUAAUUUGUGAAAGAAACUUUGUUGAUUGAUAAUUGGGGAAUGAAGUUUGAUUACAUAUUUACGAAUAUAACUAUUCUUCACUUAGUAUUCGAAAUGUGGGAAUCAAUGGUUAAAAAUGUGAGAAAAGUCAAAUACCAAUAUUAUAGAAAGACAAAAGUUGAACAUCAAUCACUUUUGAGGUAAUAAAAUUAAAAAUAUUAUUUGAUAGUUGGACUAAAAGUAACACAUCUCUUCAUUUCAUUGUUCUGUACAUAUUUUAAAUCCAAGGUAAUAAUAAUACAUUAUAUAGUUAAAUUAUUUUAUAAUUAUAUUUUGAUGUGUAUAUAUUAUUUAUAAUAUCAUAAAUUUAUAAUAUUAUGUUAAUUUAUAUUUAUAUAUUUUAAUGUUGUAGAUAUUAUAAUCAUAAAUAAUUAAAUAAAAAUUAACAAACUAUAAAGCUCUAAUACCAUGUAAAGGCAUUGCAUCCACCCCUUAGAUGCAUCUCAGACAUGGACAUACAACAUAUGCUUACAAGUUGGGGUGUUGAACCGAUGCUUAUAAGUUGGGGUGUUAGAUACACCGAUUUGGAUUAUACACAAUCAUAAUAUUUUAAAUUUUAAUAUUUUUAUUUAAUUUUUAUUUUUAAAAUUAAACUUAAAUAUGAUUUAUUAUAUAAUUAUAUAAUAUUAUGUAUUUUUUAUAAUUUAAAUAUCAUAUUUCUACUUUUAUUUAUAUUUAAAUUAUAAACACAAUUAUAUUUUUUUAUAAUUUAAAUCUAUUUUUAAAUAGAAAAUUAAUUUUUUAUUAAAGAUAAACUAAACUUUUACUUAAGAAAAAAAUUAAAAAUUAAAUAUAAUAUUUUGUAUAAUAAUUGUUCUUGUCGGUUGACUUCGGUCAUACUUGGUGGUGAGCUCUGUUGAAGAUGGAUGUUGCCUCUCAAAGACAAAGUGUUUGAUGAAGCCAAAUGUGUAUUUUUCCUUAGUGUUGGCUUUUGCUUUAAGGAUGUCUUAGGUUUAGAUUAGAGGUUGUUUAAUGUAGGUUUUUUUGCUGAGUAACUCACCUCGUAACCCCUGACCAUGUGAUAAGAGCAAGCACAAGACUUAUGAAAAUGUUUUUCACAUGUUUUGUAAAAAUAUCCUUUACAACAUAGAAAAUGAAUCUGUUCUUCUCUAAAUGAAUAGAUUCUCUGAAACUGAUGCAUUGUUUUGUGUUCACUCUCUCUUCCUCCCUGCACUUUUUUACUACUUUAUCUGUUAAACUGUCAGAAAUUGAAUCUGUUCAAUUAAAAAUAAAUCUGUUCUUUUUGGGCUUGUUCAUACUGUUCUUGAUUUCUGGAAAAACCUGUUUGAUUCUUUUAAAAAGUGUAUGAACUGUUGAGUACAACUGGAAUCAUUUGAUUUAUGAUAGUUUACCCAAUUUAUUGUCAAUCUUGUAAUUGAAGGUUUAUCACUGGAUUUAAAAGCUGAAGAUCAUUGAUUAUGUUUUUAUUGUUCCUCUCUAAAAACAGUGUGAGUGUAGCUUGUGAAUCAAUCUGCUUAAAAUCAAAAAUCACUUAACUGAUAUAAACUUCUUAAUACAUAAAUAGUAUAAAAUAUAAAUUUUUUCAUUGGUAAAUAAAUCGAUUUAUUUUUCUUUGUACUGUGCUAAAAAUUGAAUCUGCCUAAAAUUUUUAAAAGCUCAAUUCACCCCCCCUCUUGAACUUUGACAUUAUUAAACCUAACAAUUGGUAUCAAGAGCUAGGACUUGUAUUUUGCUCAAGUUUGUUUGUAAUAAUUUCUGAGUUUAAAGUGCUUUUUGCUAAGGGAUCGUCUAUCAAUAGACCUCCUAAGAUGAAUUAUGCUUUUUGGAAAAUUAAAAUGAAAAUUUUCAUUGAAUCUAUUGACUCGUGUAUUUGGGAGGUUGUGGUCCAUGGACUUUAUGUGCCAAUGCAGGUUGUCAAGGAUGAAGAAGUGGCAAAGCCAAGAUUUGAAUGGAGUGAGAGUGAAAAGAAGAAGGCUCAAUAUGAUCUUGUAGCUAAGAACAUCAUAACUUCGUCAUUAACAAUGGAUGAGUUCUUCAGAAUAUCUCAAUGCAGUUCAGCUAAGGAGAUGUGGGAGGUCUUGGAAGUUACUCAUUAAGGCACUGAGGAUGUGAAGAGAUCAAGAAAACAUUCUCUCAUCCAAGAGUAUGAACUUUUUAGAAUGCAACCCGAAGAGAGCAUUGCUCAUGUGCAGAAAAGGUUCACCCACAUUGUGAAUCAUCUUACUGGAUUGGGAAAGGUAUUUGACAAAGAGGAACUUAACAUAAAAGUGCUGAAGUGCCUCGACAGAAGCUGGCAACCCAAAGUGACUGCCAUAUCAAAAAGUCGUGAUUUGUCAAAGCUGUCCACUGCUGCACUAUUUGGGAAAUUAAUGGAGCAUGAGCUGGAGCUCAAGAGACUCAAAAAGCAAGAAACAGUGGAAAGGAAACCCAAGGGACUUGAACUGAAAGCAAGUACACAGAGUGACAUCAAUGAGGAGAAAGAAGAUGCUGAACAUGAUGAAACAAUCAACCUACUCACAAAAAGGUUCAACAGAUUCCUAAAGAAGAAAAGCAGAGAUAAGAACCAACAGAAAAAAAAGGUAUCCCAAACUGAAUGAAUCAAAUUCCUCUAACUACACUUGCUUUGGUUGUGGUAAAAUAGGGCAUAUCAAGAUGGACUAUCUAAACAAUCAAUCAAAGGACAAAUCAGCCAGCAAGAAAGUUGAAAGGAGCAAGGGGAGAAGAGCUUACAUCUCUUGGGAAGAAAAUGAAGUAUCUUCAACCAAUAGUUCUUCAACUGAGAGUGGGGAAACCAAUUUGUGCUUCAUGGUAAAAGAUGAAAGAUCAAUCUCUGAUUCGGUAAGUGAAUUUUCUAUGAAAUCUGAUAACUAUGAUCAAUUGCUUGCUGCUUUCAAAGAAACACAUGAUGAGGCAAAUAGAUUGGCUGUAAUAUGCAGUAAGUUGCAAAAGGUAAAUAAUGUGCUUGCACCUAAUGUAAAAACACUUGAGGAAGAACUGCAUAAGGCUAAAACUGAUCUUGUAAGUCUUGAACUAACAUGCUUGCAUGCCUCUAUUAAAACCUGUGAAAACUGUAAAAAAUUGGAAAAACAAGUGGAGUAUUUGCUAAAAACCCUAUCUAAUUUCACUAAGGGAAGAGAGAAUCUUGAGUCUCUUCUAGGUUCACAGAAUGUUGUUUUUAACAAAAAUGGAAUUGGUUAUAAUCCUGGAAAUGUAACCAAUGUUAAAAAGCUUUCAAGUUUUUUUGUUCCAGCAAAAACAAGUUUUUCAUCUUUUAACAGUGGCAGAAAGGCAUCUCAUGUUACUUGCUUUUAUUGUAUGAAAUAUGGACAUACCUCUAGAUCAUGUAUUGCUAGAAAAUAUAUUGUCCCCAAAAACUUAGCCAAAUGGCUACCAAAGGAAAGGUUUUAAUCAUUGCUGGACCCUAUACUGAGAAGGGUACCAUUUGUAUUAUUUUUACUAUGUUUUGCAGAAAGGAAUCAAGAGAAAUCAAUGGUAUUUGGACAGUGGAUUUUCAAAGCAUAUGACUGGUGAUCUGACAAAAAUUACUAGCUUAAAGCUCAAGGCAGAGGGACAUGUAACCUAUGGGGACAAUAAUCGUGGAAGAAUUCUGGGCAGAGGAACUGUUGGAACUGGAAAUUCAACCACUAUUGAGAAUGUGCUUUAUGUGGAAGGACUCAAGCAUAGCCUUCUUAGUAUUAGCCAACUAUGUGACAAAGGAUACAAGGUAAACUUCAAGUCAAAUGAUUGCACAAUCUCAAAUGACUCCUCUGGUAAGGUGUUGUUUACUGGUAAGAGAGUGAAUAACAUAUAUCUCUUGGAUAUUCUGGAAACUGAUUCUUCAAAUGAGUGUCUACUGUCUAGAAGUGAUGAGUCUUGGUUGUGGCACAGGAGGUUAGCUCACAUUCACACUAAUCACUUAAAUAAAUUGAAAUCCAAAGAUCUUGUUUCUGGUUUGCCUAACAUUAAAUUUUAGGAUAACAGACUCUAUGAUGCUUGUGUGAAAGAACCUACUGUUUCUGCAGGUUUGCCAAAAGAAUGGAAAACUCCAAGAGAUCUAACCCUUGAUAAUGUCAUUGGGAAUAUUGAGAAAGGAGUUUCAACUAGGAAGUCUUUGAGUAAUUUCUGUGAGACAAUGGCCUUUGUUUCUCAAGUGGAGCCUAAAAGUUUGAAUGAAGCACUCAAGGACAGUAACUGGAUUCUGGCUAUGCAAGAGGAACUGAAUCAAUUUGCUCUAAAUGAGGUAUGGACUCUUGUUCCUAGAAUACCUUAAAUGAACAUCAUUGGAACAAAGUGGGUAUUCAGAAACAAGAUGGAUGAGCAUGGGAUGAUUACCAGAAAUAAGGCUAGACUAGUGGCUAAAGGGUAUAAUCAAGAAGAGGGAAUAGACUAUGAUGAAACAUAUGCACCAGUGGCUCGGCUUGAAGCUGUUAGACUGCUCCUUGCCUUCUCCUGCAUCAAAGGAUUCAAGCUAUUCCAAAUGGAUGUGAAGAGUGCCUUCUUAAAUGGUUAUAUAAAUGAAGAGGUAUUUAUUUCACAGCCACCAGGAUUUGAAGACCAUCAACAUCCAGGACAUGUGUUCAAACUUAAGAAAGCUCUCUAUGGGCUUAAGCAAGCUCCUAAGCAAUGGUAUGAAAGGCUAAGUGAUUUCCUUACCUCACAAGGCUAUGACAAAGGCACAUCAGAUAAGACCUUGUUCAUUAAGAAGAAAGAAAAUGACACAAGUCUAUGUGGAUGAUAUUAUAUUUGGAUCAAACAAUGGAGAGCUGUGUGAAACUUUUGUAGAAAUCAUGAAGAGUGAGUUUGAAAUGUCUAUGAUGGGUGAGUUGAACUAUUUUCUAGGCUUGCAGGUCAAACAACUCAAGGAUGGCAUAUUCUUAAAUCAAGCCAAGUAUUGCAAGGAUCUGCUGAGAAAGUUUGAAAUGGACAAGGGCAAACCAAUUUGCUCUUAACUGCUUCAUCAACCCAUUUCAAUUUUCCAAUAUAAAUAUGUGUAAAUGUGUUGCUCAUACUCAUUGCUCACCAUUUGAAUCAAAAGGUAAUAUUCUCUCUUUGGUGAUUUCUUAAUGUAUGCUUAUCACUAUACACUAAUUCGGUUUUAAGUUGUGUUUCCAGACCCAACUUUGGUUCAACCAUGGCUUCUUCAUCACGUCAGAGAAAGAAGAAAUAGAACAAGCAGAACAACUUUCAAGGAGUGCUGGAAAACUAGUUUGUUGGAGAUGACGAAGGGAUAACCGCCUACAUCCAUGAGAUGAGUAAAAAGCAAAUCAACAUUCCUAAAUUUCUAGAGUCCUCUUGGUUGAAAACUGAGAAUCUGAAUGAAACCAGAUCUGCUUUAAAGCAUCAAAGACUGAAGCAGCUUCUUGAAAUGACUAGUAAUGUAUACCCUGAUCUUGUGAAGGUGUUUUACACCAAUCUGACCUUGGAUGGAAAAAAUCUGGUGUCUUACGUGAAAGGGAUCAAGAUGAAAUUCACCAAUGAAGUAUGGAAUUUGGUGGCUGGAAUCAAGUAUGUUGGUUUGAAGGUUGGAAAAGGAAAUACAAAUGGGAUUCAGGAGUUUAACAAAAUUCAGUAUUAUCGAAGCUGUGUAAGGGAUCCAUCCCUAAGUGUGAACAAGUUCCAUGCAGGUAACCUGAAUUUAACCCCAAGAUUACUUUCCUACAUCAUUGCAUGGCAACUCAUUCCUAAAGGUACAAAUCAUGUUGUUCUACAUGAAGAGGAUUUAAUACUUCUCUAAUGCAUCAUGAAUCUGAUCAAGGUUAACUGGGUAUAUAUCAUCAUGGAGCAUAUGUUGAAAUCUAAAAGAUUAACUGAUUACCGUUUUCCUUAUGCUAUUCUUGUUUCAAAAUUAAUUGACUAUUUUGGUAUUGAAACUUCUAAUGAGAGGAAUGAAACCAUCAAAGAUGUAGUGAAAUUGAUAACUCAACUCUCACAAAGAUGGGGUUUCAUAAAGUGGAGGACUGCUGGGUGUUUCUCAAAAGCAAAACUCACAAGGAAAAACAUGGAGGUUCAAACCUCAACAAUGAUGAGGAAGAUGAGGUUGUACCAAUGGAAGAUGAUACUAUGCAAGCUGCUGAACAAUCUUGCUAUGAAGUUCAUCACACUUCAUCACAUAGAAUGGGAUCCUUUGCUGACCAUGCUAGGAGUCACAGAAUGCGAUCUUCUUCUACUGAAUACAGAGGAGGAUCACCUGCACCAUAGACAAUGAAUGAAGAUGCUGAUGAAACUCCCCAAAAUGCUCUUGUUGCCUAUCAAGCUUCAGAAUACAAGGGUGAACCCUUAUCCAUGUUUGAGAGGCAGGUUCUGUAUCGCCUUUAUGCCAUGACAACAGAACAAAGGGCCUACUUCGAGACAACUCAAACAAGGUUCCAGCAUCUUGAUAAUCAAAUUGAUGGGGUUCAGUUGCAGCUGGCAGACUUAUACUACAAAGAUUAGAACUGUCUUGCUUUCCAUGCUUUUCUUUCACAAGUUUAUAUUCCUGUAAUGCUGAACAAUUUGUAUUCUUUUCUGGACUGUUAUGGUUGUGUUAUCUUUCUGUUUUUAUCUUUCUCUAUGCUUAAAUGUUGUUUGAUGAAUCCAAAGAGAGAAAAAAAAUAGCUCACCAUGCUAGGUAAAGCUAGGUAAUACAGGGAGUACACUCUGCAUCUUAAAACUGAUUGACUCAUAUUAUGAAUUGUUUCAACUUUUAUAGUUUGAUGUUUGAUGCAGUACAGGUGUUGUUCUCUUCUUAAAGCAAUUGAGCUAUGGGGAUUUGUCUCCAUCAAACAGGGGGAGAUUGUUGAAGAUGGAUGUUGCCUCUUCAAAGACAAAGUGUUUGAUGAAGCCAAAUGUGUAUUUUUCCUUAGUGUUGGCUUUUGCUUUAAGGAUGUCUUAGGUUUAGAUUAGAGGUUGUUUAAAUUAGGUUUUUUGUUGAGUAACUCACCUCUUAACCCCUGACCUUGCGAUAAGAGCAAGCACAAGACUUAUGAAAAUGUUUUUCACAUGUUUUGUAAAAAUAUCCUUUACAACAUAGAAAAUGAAUAUGUUCUUCUCUAAAUGAAUAGAUUCUUUUCUCAAACUGAUGCAUUGUUUUGUGUUCACUCUCUCUUCAUCCCUGCACUCUUUUACUGCUUUAUCUGUUAAAGAGUCAGAAAUUGAAUUUGUUCAAUUAAAAAUAAAUUUUUUCUUUCUGGGCUUCUUCAUACUGUUCUUGAUUUCUGGAAAACCUGUUUGAUUCUUUUAAAAAGUGUAUGAACUGUUGAGUACAACUAGAAUCGUUUGAUUUGUGAUAGUUUACCCAAUUUAUUGUCAAGCUUGUAAUUGAAGGUUUAUCACUGGAUUUAAAAGCUGAAGAUCAUUGAUUAUGUUUUUAUUGUUCCUAUUAAAAACAGUGUGAGUGUAGCUUGUGAAUCAAUCUGCUUAAAAUAAAAAAUCACUUAACUGAUAUAAACUUCUUAAUACAUAAAUAGUAUAAAAAAUAAAUUUGUUCAUUGGUAAAUAAAUCGAUUUAUUUUUCUUGGUACUGUGCUAAAAACUGAAUCUGUCUGGAAUUUUUAAAAGCUCAAUUCACCCCCCAUUUCCCCCUCUUGAACUUUGACACUAUUAAAACCCAACAAGCUCCGCUUUGUCUUGUCUUCACGUGAUGCUCUGAGAUGCCGAUGCUUUGUGACAAAGGAGACUCUACCUAUUGAUCACACUCUUACUAUCAAGUCAAUGAGAGCAUUCAAACUAUAAAUUUGUUUCAGUCUAGAGUUCUCAAAGGAAAAAACUUACCUUUACUCAGAGUCUUAAACCCUUUUAUAGACAUUCCUUCAACAAUUUUCAUCAACCAGAAUAUUAUUUCAAUAAGAAUAUAAUUUCAAUAGCAAGAAUAUAAUCUUAACAACAAUAAUGUUUCGGUAAUGUGUACCUUUAUUUUCGGCUACAAUGCAAUAUUAUUCUUAACAACUUUCGGGUACAAACCAAUUUUUUUUAGUUUCUAAAAUGGUAUCUAAUUUAGUUAAUAUUGCAACUAAUUAUUUUGAUCUCUAAAUAUUGGUUUCGAUUUAAUGAUUGAUAUAAAUUAAAUAAUAAUAUAAAAAAUUGCACGUAGGUCAAUUGUACAGUGAUCAGUUCAAAAAAAAAAAGUUUCUAUAAAUUAAAUAAUAAUAUGAAAAUUUGCAUGUACGUCAAUUGUGUAUUUUCAAUUGCAAUAAGUAAUGACAGAGCACCUGAGCAAUUAAAAAUAAAGUUGUACAAUUUUCUAGACAUUCCUUCAACAAGUUUCAUCAACCAGAAUAUUAUUUCAAUAAGAAUAUAAUAUCAAUAACAAGAAUAUAAUCUUAACAACAAUAAUAUUUCGGUAAUGUGUACCUUUAUUUUCGGCUACAAUGCAAUAUUAUUCUUAACAACUUUUACAUCGAAAGUAUAUAUAUGCUUAACUAACUCAGUUAUUCACCAUGUGUUUUUUGUUUUUAAUUAUCCUCUGAACAUGGACUGUCAAUCAUCUGGGUCGACCUCUUGACAUAUCAUUGAACUCAUGAUCGCCUCAGGUUGAUCUAGGUAUUUUUCAUAUGGGUUUGUCUAAUUCAAGCUACUACAUUUAAGUGCUUGGGUCGAGGACCCGAGCACGUCUGAAUACAAUAAUGAUAUUAAAAUUCAAAAAAAUAUAAAUAAUCUUAAAUAAAUAACAUAAUAAUUAAAUAUUAUUUUAAAAUAUAUAAUAUUUUAUGAUUAAUUUUUAAUUUAUUAUAUUUAUAAAUUAGUCUAUUAGAUGAUUUUAUUUGAUUUUUAUGUUUAAGUAAAAAAAUAUAUACUUAAUUUUUUUUAUUAUAGAAAAUUAAGAUAAAUAUAAUCAAUCAAACUACUAAACAAGAUGAUAAUUUUUUUUAUAAUAAUCGUACAUUAAAUAACAUAACAAUUAAAUAUUAUUGUAAAGUAUAUAAUAUAUUACAUUAUAAUUAAUUUUUAAUUUGUUACAUAUUUUAUUUUUUAUAUUCAUAAAUUAGUUUCUAUUAGAUGAAUUUAUUUAAUUAUUAUAUUUAAGUAAAUUUUACAUAUUUAAUUUAUUUAUUUUAUAGAAAAUUAAGAUGAAUAUACUUAAUUACACUAUUGAACAAAUCUCUAUUGAUAUAUGUUUCAAAGUUAAGAAAAAAUCUUAUAAAAUUAAUAUGAUCAAAUGUAGUCGAUGUGAUUUCUCAUUCAAUAAAUCUUACACUCUUAAGAUCAUUUUGUGAAAAUUAUGGGUGGAGUAAUUAGAAUUUCUCCAAUCAUGACUUCGUAAAAACUUAUUGAGUUUAAAAACUUAGAUAAUGAAACAACAUUGAAAAUAGAGAAUUCAAAGAAAAAGAAGGUUCAUAUAUCACAUGUAUGUAAUGAAGGAAAUAGACAAACAAUGGUGUUGUUACCCCCAAAAUUCAAAGGUUCUUUACAAGCUUCUUUCAAUAUGCAAAUGAAAGAUACUCUUGAUUGUGAAAUUGCUAUGAUGUUUUAUUCUUUAGAACUACCAUUUCAUUUAGCAAGAAAUCCUUAUUAUAAAAGUGCAUUUUCUUAUGCAUCUAAUACUUCUAAUCUAGUGGAUAUGUAUCACCAACAUAUAAUAAAGUCAAAGGUCUUUUACUUUCAAAAGAAAGAAGUCAUGUAGAAAACCUUUUGCAACCUAUACAAAACUCAUGAAAUCAUAAAGGUGUAACAAUUGUUAGUGAUGGGUGAAGUGAUCCUCAAAGAAGACCACUUAUAAUUUUUAUGGCUAUCAUUGAAAGUGGACCAAUGUUUUUGAAGUCAAUAGAUGGAUCUAGUGAGAUAAAGUACAAAGAUUUUAUCACUAAACAAAUGAGAGAUAUAAUUACGGAGGUUGGGCAAAAAAAUGCGGUACAAAUUAUAACUGACAGUGCAGUUUUACGUAAGGUAGUGGGUAUGCUCAUAGAAUUAGAAUUCAUGCCUUAUAUACAAUUGCAUUAUUAGUUAUAAUUUGUACCACAUUUUUUGGCCCAACCUCCAUAAUUACAUCUAUCAUGUGUUUAGCGAUAAAAUCUUUGUCCUUUAUCUCACCAAAUCCAUCUAUUGAUUUCAAAAACAUUGGUCCACUCUUAGUGAUAGUCAUAAAAAUUAUAAAUGUUCUUCUUUCAGGAUCUCUCAAUCCAUCACUAACAAUUGUUACACCUUUUAGAUUUCAUGAGUUUGAUAUAGGUUUCAAAAGGUUUUCCACAUUACUUUUUUCUUUUGAAGGUAAAGGACCUCUGAAUUUAUUAUAUGUUGGCGAUACAUAUUCACUAAGAUUAUAAGUAUUAACUAUAUAAGAAAAUGCACUCUUAUAAUAAAGAUUUCUUGCUAAAUGAAAUGGUAGUCCUAAAGAAUAAAGCAUCCUCAGAAUUUCACAAUCAAAAGUAUCUCUUUCUUGCGUAUUGAAAGAGACUUGUAAAGAACCUUUUAGUUCUGGGUUAACACCAUUGAUUGUCUGAUUUCCUUCAUCAGAUACAGGUGGUAGAGGGACCAUUUUUUUUCAAAUUCUCUAUUUUCAAUGUUGCUUCAUUGUCUAAUUUUUUAAACUCAACAAGUUUUGACGAGGUCAUAUUUGGACAAAUUCUAACUCCUCCUCCCAUAAUUUUUAACAAAUGAGCUCCUACUCGAGUCUAAGAUCCAUUGAAUGAGAGAUCACACAAACUACAUUAGAUCAUAUUAUUUUCACCACUAGGAGUUUUUCUUAGGUUUUAAGAAAUAUAUAUUCACGAAGAUUUUGUUUCAUCUUCUCGUUCGAUAGCUUGAUUAGGUAUAUUAAUCUUAAUUUUCUAACAAAAAUAAAUUAAAUAUAAAAAUUUACUUGAAUGUAAAAAAAUCAAAUAAAUUCAUCUAAUAGAAAUAAUGAAUAUAAAAAAUAAAAUAUGUAGAAAAUUAAAAAAUAAUUAUAGUAUAAUAUAUUGUAUUUCUUAAAAAUAAUUGCUCUUACCAGGCUCGGGUUAAGCCAUCCGAGGUACUGAAUUUGAGGUGAUCAGGUAGAUCAAUCUUUGUCUUGACAAAUUGACGAUGAAAACUGAGUGAAAGUUCACCUACAAAAGAAGACUCCCCCGCGCUCAAUGCUCAAGUGAGUAUGAUAUAUGAUUUAGAGUAAAUGUAUUGAGUAUUAAGUUAAUAAGAAGUACUCCUGAUUAUUGUAUUUAUAGACUUAUAAGCUUAUGAGAUGUAAAUAAUUGUUUUCGGUCUUCUAAGCAAUACUAAUCUUUGUGGUCAUAGUAAUACUAAUCUUUGUGAUCAUAGUAAGUGGUUAUAUUUACAUAAUUAUAAAGAUAUUUAUCAUUAACUAAUUAUAUUUAUAUAACCAUAAAGAUACUUAUCAUUAACUCAUUAUAUAUACGUAACUAUCAAAAUAUUUAUUAUUUAUUAGUAACCGAUUAUAUUUACAUAACUGUAACUAUAAAGAUACUAGUUUGGUUAUAUUUAUAUAACUAUAAAGAUAUUAGUUUGAUUAUAUUUAUAUAAUUAUAAAAAUAUUUAUUUGUAAAAGUGGAAUAUUCAAAUAUCUGCAGGUGAUUUUUAUUCAAUUAUCCAUCCAAUAGGGUAGUACAAUAAUAUAUAAUUAUUAUGUUAUUCAAGGUCAUUUUGUAUUUUAUAGUAUAAUAUAUUAUAUUUAUUAUAGUAUAACACAUUAUAUUUAUUAUAAUAUAACACAUUAUAUUUAUUAUAAUAUAACAUAUAAUAUUUAUUUUAAACAUUGUAAUUAAAUAUAAAACAUUUUAUUUAUUUAAGGUUGUUUUAUAUUUUUUUAAUUUUAAUAUGAUUAUUAUAAAAAAUAUUAUCUUUAAUAUUUUAUUUUAUUUUCUUAAUUAAAAGUUUAAUAUAAAUUUAAGGAAUCGCUUACUAUACUUAGUAAGAAAUUGCACACAAAAAGAAAAAGAAAAUAGAAAAUAAACAAAAUUUUUAUGUAAUUAAACAUUGGUAUUUAAAAUAAAAAAUGAAAGUAGACAAAUAAAAAAGGAAAGGAGAUUUUUGAAUAAAAAUAUUUUCCUUUUUUAUCUUCAAACAUGAAUCUAUAAUAAAAUUUAAUUUACUAUUUAAAAAUAGAUUUAAAUUAUAAAAAAUAAUUAUAUAUUUUUUAAUAUAAAAGAAUAAAGUAAAGUAAAAAUAUAAUAUUUAAACUAUAAAAAAAUAUAGAAUAUUAUAUAAUAAAUAUAUUUAUAUUUAAAUUGAAAAAUAUAAAUUAAAUAACAAUAAUAAAUUCGAAGUAAAAAGACACUACGUUAGUUGCAUUGAGAGUACCUUUUAUUAAAAAAAAUACAGUAACACUAUGAUUAAUUCAAAAACAAAAUCUAUAAAUUAAAGAAUAAUAUUAAAUUUCAAAUAAAAAAUGCAAUGAUCAAUUCAAAAAAAAAUUCUACACUACAAGAAAAUCAUGAAAUAUAAAUCAAUUUUAGAAAAGAAAAAAAUAAUUAGUUGCUAUAGUGACUAAAUUAUAGACCAUUUUAGGGAUUAAAUAAAUUUUUGGUUUGUAAAUUAGUUUCUAUUACUCUUAAAUAGUUUCUAAAUUGGUAUGUAAUUAGCAAAUAAGGUUUUUGCUACCAAAUUUAGAAUCUAAAUAAUUGGUAAUUAAAAUUUUGGUAGCUAAUUAGAUACCAAUUUAGAAACUAUUUCAGAAUAAUAAAAACUAAUUUACAAACCAAUUUUUUUAGUUUCUAAAAUGAUAUCUAAUUUAAUUAAUAUUGUAACUGAUUAUUUUGAUCUCUAAAUAUUGGUUUCUAUUUAAUGAUUGAUUUUAAAUUAAAUAAUAAUAUAAAAAAAUUGCACAUAGGUCAAUUGUACAGUGAUCAGUUCAAAAAAAAAAGUUUCUAUAAAUUAAAUAAUAAUAUGAAAAUUUGCACGUACGUCAAUUGUGUAUUUUCAAUUGCAAUAAGUAAUGACAGAGCACCUGAGCAAUUAAAAAUAAAGUUUUUUACAUAAUAUUUUAAAUAAAAUAUUUAAUGUGUAUUAUUUUAUCAUUUUUUAGUCUAGUCUUUCUUCUUUCUUCUCAUUUUUUAAGAUUGUAACUCACACUAUACACGCUUUUACUCAAAUGUGAUCAAUGAGGUGGAUCAUGCCAUCUCCGAUGUGUCAAAAGUAGGGUCGUGUUCGGUUCAAGUAAGCGUAUAAAAUACAACUUAAAUUGAACAAUUUUCUAAAUUUUUCCUCGCUACAACUAGCAUUUCGUUGUUUGAAGGUUACAAACAAUGCACAAGCACAUCCACUUGUUAGAAACCAACCCCACAAGUUUCAAAGGAUUCUUCCACCACUUUUUGCGCCGCACGUGAUGUAACUCAAAAAUACAUGAAGAUGACUAAGGAUGCUAUACUUGAAGGGUCAUCUCAUCAAGAAAAUAAAGACUUCAUCAAUAGAAGAAAUGGACAAGGUCCAAAACAUUUAAAGUUCUUCUUAUUAGUCUUCUCAAAAUAUGAGACUCAAGCCCAAUUAAUGUCUCUUUUUGUAAUAUCUUUAUAAUAGAUUCUAAAUAGAACAUUAGAAGGGAAAUAGUAGAAAAAGUCACUUUUCGGGAAUAAGGAAGUGACUUGGACAGGAGCGGCAUUUACAUUGUCUUUUCAUGUUCCUUGUCUCAUUUACAAUGACUUUUCAUGUAUCUUACCUUUCAUGACCGGUCCUCUAUUCUCAUAUAAAGAGAAGCCUUGCUUUUGUAAACAUAAGUUGAAUAUUAAAAUUGAAAAUGAAGUUACUCUCUUGAAAUUGAGUGGGUUCUUUGUGAGACUUGCUCUCCUUCUCUUUGUCUUAUCUUGUGGGUCUUGGGAAUGUUCAAGUGGCGACACUCUCACUCAUUUUGGAGCCUUCCACCAUCCAAGUGGCGUGAUCACUCCCAAUGUCUUCAACCAGAUAAGUUCUUUUCAACUUUUCAUCUUCUUCUUCCAUGUCCAUUCAAUAUCACAAACUCUAAACAUGUCUUUUGUUGUUUCUUGAUGUUUCAAUCAGUAGAAAUUGUGUAGUUUCUGUUUUUGUUUGGUUCUUUGUGAUUACUUGUUGUUCUAUUUGGUUUGUAUGUGUUUAGUUGUUGUUUCAAUCGGUUCAUAUGCUUCCUUGUCAUGUUUCAAUCGGUUCAUGUUCUUGAAAUGGGUUUCCAUUUGGUUUUCUUGUUCUUGUUGUGUUCUUGAAUUGCUUGUUGAAUCUUGAUCUAAUUCUUGAAACUGUCAUAUGAUGUUUCAUCUUCCCAAUCAACUCACAUCAUGUGGUAUCAUGAGCCAUGGGUUUGUUCUUGUUUUGAGUUGAUUUGACACUUUUAAUUCAAGCAAAUUAUUUUUCCAGCACCUUAUUUUGUGCAGAAUUUUUUUUAGGUUCCUUUUUUGCGUGUGUUGUUCUGUUUUUUCCUUUUAAUUGAGUAUUUCUUGCUGUUUUUAAUUGGUACGAAUUAAUUGUGUUUGAGUCAUUUUGAUUUUAGAAUCCAUAUAAGUUUUGUCAAGUCAUGUUUCUCCUAAAAUGUCAUCAAUUUUAUGUAGUACUUUUCUUAAUAAUUUUGGUUGAUUGAUUUUAAUUGAGUGUAGUUUUAUAAUUCUGUUUUUGAUCCUUUGGUGUAUUUUAUUAUUUAGAUUUGAGUUCAUACUUGUGUGUUAGAUCUAUACAAGUUCAUAUACAUCACUUCUAUUGUGUCUUUGAAGUUUCUUAAUGUUGUUUUUUAAUUCCAGAAUAGGUUUCCUCUGUUUUCAUUAAAUCGGUGCUAACUAAAAUGGUUUAUGAAAAUUUCUUUUGUUGGAGAAAAACUAUGAAACUUUGGAUCUGAGUAGUUUGAAAUGUUAAAAAAGAGUUAAAAAAAGAAGUAUAUUCAAAAUACAAAAAAAAAAAAAAUGAUAAAUGAAAUACGUACAAAGUCCAAAAUUCUGACUCUAGAAAAAUAGUGAAGCAGCAGUGAUUUUAAAAAAUUUAUCACAAUUAAUUGGUGCUCUGUUUUAGUACAAUUAUAGCGCCUAUUGUGAGAUAAGACAUUGUUUUAU
Molecule: long non-coding RNA, 19709 nt
Filed under: Phaseolus vulgaris (common bean)
Lineage: Eukaryota; Viridiplantae; Streptophyta; Magnoliopsida; Fabales; Fabaceae
Source: RNAcentral